GAGGCUGCUACAUGGUCUUCUCCAGCAGGCUCAUGGAAAUGCCUACCCUUCUGACCCAGCCACUGGAGGGAUUGUUGUACCAUGGAGAAGCAGGUUUCCCCCAGUGCUUUGGGAGUGAUUCUGUUCAGGGCAUUGUCUGGAAAGUAUUCAUCUUCUUUUCUGAAGAAGUGAUGGAGGCAGGUCUUUAUCAGCAGCCUGAAAAUGGACUGGUAUCACAUCUUAAAGUAAAAUGGAAUAAUUAGUACUUCAAAUCAAGAAACCAAUAUGCAAGGUAAUAACUUUGUUUUCUUUUGUUAUAGUGACACAGUUAAACUCUUUGGGUAUUCAACAAUAUAAGGCAAGUAGGGCAGGGGUUCAGGAGGGAGUAUUGGGAAGUCAUGGAGGAGAUUUGGGAAUGUUCAUUCAUGGGACUCAUGAUGAAACAGAUAACACUGUGAAUUAUCAAGAGACAAAGCAGGAAAAUCAGAAGGUUCUUGCCUUUACUAUUUUUAGGGAUCAAUAUCAGUGUUCUUGGACUGUGAGAAACAUGGGAAUGAGAAGACCUCCCAGAGUAGAGGAGACAGAUGGGCAGUUCUGUCACUGGCACAGAAGGAUAAACUCAUCUCCUGAGUGAACCUGGGAGAGCUGAAGAGCCAUUCAAGCAUCAAUGACAUGCUGUGUAGUAAAGUGCUCGGGGUCCGGGGAAGUUCGGUACCGGGAUCCUCAGAGCUCUGAACCCUUGGGGCUGCUAUGGGUUCCGGAGUAUUUCACUGAUUUCAGUUAUCUAGUGGCGUUUCAUGU
This is a long non-coding RNA of Cebus imitator (Panamanian white-faced capuchin), 780 nucleotides long. RefSeq lists it as uncharacterized. The record is from RefSeq and is a predicted model, not a curated record. Lineage: Eukaryota; Metazoa; Chordata; Mammalia; Primates; Cebidae. The transcript has 3 exons.